ACUUAUCCAUAUGUAUGGGCAUCAUAUAUAGUAGUGUAUGGUGGCUUUGCCUUGUGGACUACCUACAGGUGGAGAAAACUUAGAAAGACCGAGGACAGAGUACGAGCUCUUCAAGAAAGACUGCGCAAUCUUGUUGAUUCUCAAGACUCUGCAAUUUCGACUUCAACAACUCUUGAAAAGGCUCCCCCUUCCAUUGAUAAGUCCUCCCCCAAAUAGCUUUUCUAAGAAAUUUCACCUCAAGUUCAGAAUAUGAAUCUUCUCUUCCAAAUAUCUUAUCUACUUCAACCUUUUCCUUUCAGAUACAAGGAAAGUGUUUAUGCUCUUAUCAAAUUUACAGCUUUUGGAUCUUCAUUUUAUAUUUUACAGAAUUUAUUAUCUAUCAAAUUUAGCACUAGAGCCAAAUUUGAUUAAAGACAUUAGUGAGUUCUUCAAGGUUUUUUUUUUUUUUUUCCAACUAUUGAUGGCAUUAUGCUUUAUAUUUUUGUUUUUUUGCGCCUAUUCUGUUUGAACUCUCCUUUGAUGAUAUGCAAUGCAUGCCACCAGAUGGGGCAAAAUACAUAGUAUCUGUAGUGUGUAAGCUUCCGAG
This 586-nucleotide unclassified non-coding RNA is filed under the name Hevea brasiliensis (rubber tree). The record is from RNAcentral. Lineage: Eukaryota; Viridiplantae; Streptophyta; Magnoliopsida; Malpighiales; Euphorbiaceae.